ACGCACGCUGGCGGCAUGCCUCACACCUGCCAGUCGCACGCGACCUUCGGGUCUAGUGGCGCACGGGUGCGUCACGCGUGGGAACCUGCCCUUAGGUUCGGAAUAACUCCCCGAAAGGGGUGCUAAUACCGGAUAAUGUCUUCGGACCAAAGAUUUAUCGCCUUUGGAUGGGCCCGCGUUGGAUUAGCUAGUUGGUAGGGUAAAAGCCUACCAAGGCGACGAUCCAUAGCUGGUCUGAGAGGAUGAUCAGCCACACUGGGACUGAGACACGGCCCAGACUCCUACGGGAGGCAGCAGUGGGGAAUAUUGGACAAUGGGCGAAAGCCUGAUCCAGCAAUGCCGCGUGAGUGAUGAAGGCCUUAGGGUUGUAAAGCUCUUUUACCCGGGAUGAUAAUGACAGUACCGGGAGAAUAAGCUCCGGCUAACUCCGUG
This 432-nucleotide ribosomal RNA is filed under the name uncultured bacterium. Its description in RNAcentral is "partial 16S ribosomal RNA". It matches the Rfam family "Bacterial small subunit ribosomal RNA", at positions 29 to 507 of the family's 1533-position model. The record is from RNAcentral.